Molecule: long non-coding RNA, 561 nt
Filed under: Elaeis guineensis (African oil palm)
Lineage: Eukaryota; Viridiplantae; Streptophyta; Magnoliopsida; Arecales; Arecaceae
Description: long non-coding RNA (EGUI_LNC061645)
Source: RNAcentral
CUCCAUGAAAGCUUGGAUGAAUGCUGUCUUCUUUCUUUAUCCAUAAAUAUAAAGAAAUAAUUUUUAUCUAUUUAUAAAUAAUUUUUUUAUCCUUAAUUUUAUAUCAAUAUGUAAAAAUUUGAAUCAAUAGUUGGGAACAUAUAAAGAAAGGAACAGAAAGAUACAGCUGAAAAUAUAAUACAUCGAGGCACCCAAUCCCUAUUAAAAAAUUAUUACCAUUGCAGAUACAUUCAUACAAUCAGCCAUCACAGAUACAUCCAUUAUAUAGGUAUUUCUAGUCCAUAACUAUCCAUCAUGUAAUUUAUAACAAUUUUAUAAAGCAUGAUAAUAAACUAUCUAUGUUAUUAUUAUUAUGAUAUCAUUCAUGCACAUGUCACUUAAGAUAUUUAAAUUCAUGGGCACAUGACCCACUAAGAUUUUUUAUUAGAAUUCAACUCUUGAUCCAAAUUCAAUUAUGAGUCAACCAUAUAUCACCCUUUUGAGUUAAGUUAACUAAUUCUUGAACAAACCCUAAUCUAAUUAGGUUCACAAAGAUUCGAUCAACUAUGACUCAAGUCCUAA